UACGGGGGGGGCAAGCGUUGUUCGGAAUUACUGGGCGUAAAGGGCUCGUAGGCGGCCAACUAAGUCAGCCGUGAAAUCCCUCGGCUUAACCGGGGAACUGCGUCUGAUACUGGAUGGCUUGAGGUUGGGAGAGGGAUGCGGAAUUCCAGGUGUAGCGGUGAAAUGCGUAGAUAUCUGGAGGAAUACCGGUGGCGAAGGCGGCAUCCUGGACCGACAUUGACGCUGAGGAGCGAAAGCUAGGGGAGCAAACGGG
RNAcentral lists this ribosomal RNA (253 nucleotides) under uncultured bacterium. Its description in RNAcentral is "partial 16S ribosomal RNA". It matches the Rfam family "Bacterial small subunit ribosomal RNA", at positions 524 to 776 of the family's 1533-position model. The record is from RNAcentral.